RNAcentral lists this ribosomal RNA (495 nucleotides) under uncultured bacterium. Its description in RNAcentral is "partial 16S ribosomal RNA". It matches the Rfam family "Bacterial small subunit ribosomal RNA", at positions 28 to 507 of the family's 1533-position model. The record is from RNAcentral.
GACGAACGCUGGCGGCGUGCCUAAUACAUGCAAGUAGAACGCUGAAGGAGGAGCUUGCUCUUCUGGAUGAGUUGCGAACGGGUGAGUAACGCGUAGGUAACCUGCCUGGUAGCGGGGGAUAACUAUUGGAAACGAUAGCUAAUACCGCAUAAGAGUAGAUGUUGCAUGACAUUUACUUAAAAGGUGCAAUUGCAUCACUACCAGAUGGACCUGCGUUGUAUUAUCUAGUUGGUGGGGUAACGGCUUACCAAGGCGACGAUACAUAGCCGACCUGAGAGGGUGAUCGGCCACACUGGGACUGAGACACGGCCCAGACUCCUACGGGAGGCAGAAGUAGGGAAUCUUCGGGAAUGGACGGAAGUCUGACCGAGCAACGCCGCGUGAGUGAAGAAGGUUGUCGGAUCGUAAAGCUCUGUUGUAAGAGAAGAACGAGUGUGAGAGUGGAAAGUUCACACUGUGACGGUAUCUUACCAGAAAGGGACGGCUAACUACGUG